This 378-nucleotide unclassified non-coding RNA is filed under the name plant metagenome. RNAcentral's name for it is "partial contains 5.8S ribosomal RNA, internal transcribed spacer 2, and large subunit ribosomal RNA". The stretch from base 1 to 105 matches the Rfam family "5.8S ribosomal RNA", at positions 50 to 154 of the family's 154-position model. The record is from RNAcentral.
GAAAUGCGAUAAGUAAUGUGAAUUGCAGAAUUCAGUGAAUCAUCGAAUCUUUGAACGCACCUUGCGCUCCUUGGUAUUCCUUGGAGCAUGCCUGUUUGAGUAUCAUGAAAUCUUCAAAGUAAAUCUUUUGUUAACUCAAUUGGUUUCUACUUUGGUAUUGGAGGUCUUUGCAGCUUCACACCUGCUCCUCCUUGUUCAUUAGCUGGAUCUCAGUGUUAUGCUUGGUUCCACUCGGCGUGAUAAGUUAUCUAUCGCUGAGGACACUGUAAAAGGUGGCCAAGGUAAAUGCAGAUGAACCGCUUCUAAUAGUCCAUUGACUUGGACAAUACUUUUAUGAUCUGAUCUCAAAUCAGGUAGGACUACCCGCUGAACUUAAGC